AGUGAAAAAGUUUACUUUUUCAUGUAUAUGAUGGCGUCAUACUUCCAAGAAAAGCUCGAACUAUCAAUGCGAUAUAUAAACCCGUACCCGAAUCCGACACAGGUAGGUAGGUAGAGAAUACCAAGGGGCGCGAGAUAACUCUCUCUAAGGAACUCGGCAAAAUAAUUCCGUAACUUCGGGAGAAGGAAUGCCUCUGAUGAAGAGGUCGCAGAGAAUAGGCCCAGGCGACUGUUUACCAAAAACACAGGUCUCCGCAAAGUCGUAAGACGAUCUAUGGGGGCUGACGCCUGCCCGGUGCCGGACGGUGAAGGAAGUUGGUUAUUCGCAAGGAGAAGCUGACGACCGAAGCCCCGGUGAACGGCGGCCGUAACGAUAACGGUCCUAAGGUAGCGAAAUUCAUUGUCGGGUAAGUUCCGACCCGCACGAAAGGCGUAACGAUCUGGGCACUGUCUCGGAGAGAGACUCGGUGAAAUAGACAUAUCCGUGAAGAUGCGGAUUAAUUGCACCUGGACAGAAAGACCCUAUGAAGCUUUACUGUAGCCUGGAAUUGAAAUUGGGCUCGUUUUGCGCAGCCUAGGUGGGAGGCGUUGAAAAUCUUUCUCCGGGAAGAUUGGAGCCGUCAUUGAGAGACCACUCUUAACGAGCUAGAUUUCUAAUUGUGAUUCCUUGAAUCAGGACACAAGACAGUUUCUGGUGGGCAGUUUUAUUGGGGCAAUAGCCUCCUAAAAGGUAACGGAGGCGCGCAAAGGUCCCCUCAGACUAGACGGAAAUUAGUCGUAGAGCGUAAAGGCAGAAGGGGGCUUAACUGCAAGACCGACAAGUCAAGCGGGAGCGAAAGCUGGCCUUAGUGAUCCGGCGGUACCGUGUGGAAGGGCCGUCGCUCAACGGAUAAAAGUUACUCUAGGAUAACAGGCUGAUCUUCCCCAAGAGUUCACAUCGACGGGAAGGUUUGGCACCUCGAUGUCGGCUCAUCGCAACCUGGUGCGGAAGUACGUGCCAAGGGUUAGGCUGUUCGCCUAUGAAAGCGGUACGUGAGCUGGGUUCAGAACGUCGUGAGACAGUUCGGUCCAUAUCCGGUGUAAUCGUUAGAGCAUUGAGAGGAGCCUUCCAUAGUACGAGAGGACCUGGAAGGACGUGCCUCUAGUAUACCAGUUCUUGCACCAGCAGGACCGCUGGGUAGCUAUGCACGGAGCGGAUAACAGCUGAAAGCAUCUAAGUCGGAAGCCCACCUCAAGAUGAGUGCUCUCUAAGGCAACGGUAAGACUAACCGUUUGAUAGGUGUCAAGUGUAAGGCGAGCAAUCGUUUCAGCUGAGACAUACUAAUCCGCCGAUUGA
Molecule: ribosomal RNA, 1335 nt
Filed under: metagenome
Description: bacterial LSU rRNA
Rfam family: Bacterial large subunit ribosomal RNA
Source: RNAcentral